Molecule: ribosomal RNA, 139 nt
Filed under: uncultured eukaryote
Lineage: Eukaryota
Description: partial 18S ribosomal RNA
Rfam family: Eukaryotic small subunit ribosomal RNA
Source: RNAcentral
UGGUGGAGUGAUUUGUCUGGUUAAUUCCGUUAACGAACGAGACCUCGACCUACUAAAUAGUUUGGCGAACGUUUUCGUUCGCGCCGACUUCUUAGAGGGACUAUCGGUUCUUAACCGAAGGAAGUUCGAGGCAAUAACA